UACGUAGGGUGCAAGCGUUGUCCGGAAUUAUUGGGCGUAAAGAGCUCGUAGGCGGUUUGUCGCGUCUGCUGUGAAAACUCGGGGCUUAACCCCGGGCCUGCAGUGGGUACGGGCAGACUAGAGUGCGGUAGGGGAGACUGGAAUUCCUGGUGUAGCAGUGAAAUGCGUAGAUAUCAGGAGGAACACCGAUGGCGAAGGCAGGUCUCUGGGCUGACACUGACGCUCAUGCACGAAAGCGUGGGGAGCGAACAGG
RNAcentral lists this ribosomal RNA (253 nucleotides) under uncultured bacterium. RNAcentral describes it as "partial 16S ribosomal RNA". It matches the Rfam family "Bacterial small subunit ribosomal RNA", at positions 524 to 776 of the family's 1533-position model. The record is from RNAcentral.